Molecule: ribosomal RNA, 730 nt
Filed under: uncultured bacterium
Lineage: Bacteria
Description: bacterial SSU rRNA
Rfam family: Bacterial small subunit ribosomal RNA
Source: RNAcentral
AACAGGAUUAGAUACCCUGGUAGUCCACGCCGUAAACGAUGUCGACUUGGAGGUUGUGCCCUUGAGGCGUGGCUUCCGGAGCUAACGCGUUAAGUCGACCGCCUGGGGAGUACGGCCGCAAGGUUAAAACUCAAAUGAAUUGAUGGGGGCCCGCACAAGCGGUGGAGCAUGUGGUUUAAUUCGAUGCAACGCGAAGAACCUUACCUGGUCUUGACAUCCACGGAAGUUUUCAGAGAUGAGAAUGUGCCUUCGGGAACCGUGAGACAGGUGCUGCAUGGCUGUCGUCAGCUCGUGUUGUGAAAUGUUGGGUUAAGUCCCGCAACGAGCGCAACCCUUAUCCUUUGUUGCCAGCGGUCCGGCCGGGAACUCAAAGGAGACUGCCAGUGAUAAACUGGAGGAAGGUGGGGAUGACGUCAAGUCAUCAUGGCCCUUACGACCAGGGCUACACACGUGCUACAAUGGCGCAUACAAAGAGAAGCGACCUCGCGAGAGCAAGCGGACCUCAUAAAGUGCGUCGUAGUCCGGAUUGGAGUCUGCAACUCGACUCCAUGAAGUCGGAAUCGCUAGUAGUCGUGGAUCAGAAUGCCACGGUGAAUACGUUCCCGGGCCUUGUACACACCGCCCGUCACACCAUGGGAGUGGGUUGCAAAAGAAGUAGGUAGCUUAACCUUCGGGAGGGCGCUUACCACUUUGUGAUUCAUGACUGGGGUGAAGUCGUAACAAGGUAACC